This is a long non-coding RNA of Cheilinus undulatus (humphead wrasse), 615 nucleotides long. RefSeq lists it as uncharacterized. NCBI's taxonomy places the organism in Eukaryota, Metazoa, Chordata, Actinopteri, Labriformes, Labridae. The record is from RefSeq and is a predicted model, not a curated record. The transcript is spliced from 3 exons.
AGGAUCUGUUUUGUUUUCCCUCUCUGCUACUAGGUGACUUUGCAGAUGGCCGCCGGGGGGGAAAGGAAACCACAAGUCUACAGCCCAGGAGGCUUCACAUCAUCAACCAGCACUGAUGUCCUGAUCUUAUCUCCUGACACCUGCAAGCAAACCAGAGUAGAAGCAACCAUUAGCAGAUCCCAAGGGGUUGUUGUCCUGUUGGAAGAUGAACCUUAGCCCCAGCCCGAGAUCCGGAGCCCUCUAGGACAAGUUAUCUUCAAGGAUGUCUCUGUGCAUUGCUGCAUUCAUCUAUCCCUCAACCCUGACUAGUCUCCCUGUUCAUGCUGCUGAAAAUCAUCCCCACAGCAUGAUGCUGCCACCACCAUUCUUCACUGUGGGACAUUUCUGGCCAGGUGAUAAGCAGUGCCUGGUUUCUUCCAGACAUGACGCUUGGCAUUCAGGCCAAAGAGUUCAAUCUUAUUUUCAUCAGACCAGAGAGUUUUGUCUCUCAUGGUCUGAGAGUCUUUCAGGUGCCUUUUACAGAGGAGUGGCAUUACGUAGCGGACCUGCCUCUGGCAACAUGGCAGCAACGGCAAAAUGCAGCUAGCCAGCCAAUCUGCUGUUGCAUGCCAUAUU